This 344-nucleotide unclassified non-coding RNA is filed under the name uncultured fungus. Its description in RNAcentral is "partial contains small subunit ribosomal RNA, internal transcribed spacer 1, and 5.8S ribosomal RNA". The stretch from base 1 to 73 matches the Rfam family "Eukaryotic small subunit ribosomal RNA", at positions 1759 to 1831 of the family's 1831-position model. Lineage: Eukaryota; Fungi. The record is from RNAcentral.
ACAAACUUGGUCAUUUAGAGGAAGUAAAAGUCGUAACAAGGUUUCCGUAGGUGAACCUGCGGAAGGAUCAUUACUGAGGUACGCUCGGUGUCGCGUCAGCGCGCCGGUUACCCGCCCUUAUGUCACCUGCACUGAACCUCUCUCGCCUUCGGGUGGGUAGGGUCAGGAACAUUACUUCGGUCGAGGUGUUGUGCUCUGCCUGCCUCAGCGGGCCAGAGGAUGACCGCGACCGGCCUUAUUUUUCUACAAUUCUUGGGUAAGCUUGAAGUCUGAUAAAAAAUACGAAAAAAGCAAAAACUUUCAACAACGGAUCUCUUGGCUCUGGCAUCGAUGAAGAACGCAGC